Molecule: transfer RNA, 71 nt
Filed under: Odorrana chapaensis (Chapa torrent frog)
Lineage: Eukaryota; Metazoa; Chordata; Amphibia; Anura; Ranidae
Also listed under: 3 other names
Description: tRNA-Ile
Rfam family: tRNA
About the family: Transfer RNA (tRNA) molecules are approximately 80 nucleotides in length. Their secondary structure includes four short double-helical elements and three loops (D, anti-codon, and T loops).
Source: RNAcentral
GGAAGCGUGCCCGAAAGCCAAGGAUCUCCUUGAUAGGGAGACUUAUAGGGGUUCAAACCCCCUCACUUCCU